AUGAGCAACGUGUUCGGCGCCGGCGGCCAUGGCCGUGGUGACCAUGGCCAUGGAGGAGGGGGCGGAGGGGAGCAGCACGGGGGAGCCGACGGCACGCUGCUGUGCUACUUCCACCCGAGGGACCUGCUGGUCGGGGUCUGCGCGCACUGCCUCCGGGAGCGCCUGCUGCUGCUCCUCGCGGCCAAGCAGGGCGGCGGCACAGGCCGCGCGCGCCCGCCGGCCGACGGCGCCAGCUACCUGUCGGCGCGGCCCUACUGCCGGGCGCUCCGGCGCAGGACGGGCAGCAUCUCCAGCUCGCUCCCCAAGGUGUUCGCGCUCGGCUCCUUCCUCCAGCGCCUCGACUCCUCCCGCCACCACCACCCCCACCACCCCGACGAGGUCGUCCACGACCACGGCGGCGGUGGCCGUGGCGAGGACAGGGACAGGAACCCCGACGACGAUGACGACACCGCCUCCGUCGCGAGCCUCGACGAUUCCUUCAUAUCGAUCAAGUUCGAGGACAACGGCAAGGCGACGUGGGUGGACAGCCAGCAGACGUCCCUAAAGCCGGUGCGCGAGGCGACGACGGCGCCGACGACGAAGACCCUGGUGGUGGAGCAGGCGAGCCGGCGGGGCGGCGUGACGCGGUGGCGGAAGCAGGUGGUGGGGCGGCUGCUGCAGCUGGCGCGGUGGAAGCGGGCGUCGGGCAAGCAGCCGUCGUCCUCGGCGGCGGCGGACCAGCGGUCGAAGGCGCGGGGCGGCGGCGGGCGGAGCUGGAUCCGGAGCCUGACGCGGCGGCGCGCCGCGCACGGCGAGAGGGCGUGGUCGUGA
This 810-nucleotide ribosomal RNA is filed under the name Triticum aestivum (bread wheat). RNAcentral's name for it is "partial small subunit ribosomal RNA". Lineage: Eukaryota; Viridiplantae; Streptophyta; Magnoliopsida; Poales; Poaceae. The record is from RNAcentral.